CUGAUAUGUAAGCAAAAGCCAGUCUCUAAGCAGCAAUGAGGCAUCUGUUGGGGAUAUACACACAUAAAAUAUUUUGAAAAAAACAUUGCAAAAAUGUUUUCUUCCUUACCUGUACAGGUAGAGUAGAAUGUCACAGUCUCUGUUUUUUAACUUUGUGAAUGGGAGUCAUCGGACUUAAUGACUAAUGGUGUAAGUCACUGGAAAAUGUCCUUUUGAAUUGCAGACACUGGUUUUAGUCUUUUUGCAGUUUGACUUUCGAAGACAAGAAGUUGCAUAAAGGACAUGUUGAGCUGAUAGCCAGAGAAAAUAAAUGUUAAUGUGCAUUUAUUAUUUGUUUAUGUUUGUAUAGCCUUCAUAUUUACAUAGAAUAGGGACAUUUAUCUCUUCUGCUUUUUUAUAUGUUUAUUACAUAUCAUUAUUAAUAGAAUUGUACUUAUUGGUAGGUUUUUAUUUGGGGCAAUUUUAAUAUGUUUGUGCAUUUGAUGCUUCUUGACUUCCUAGAGAUCAUAAAACGUUAGUCCAGUCCAUGUUAGCUUUGAGUGAAAAUUUCUAAUCUUUUGAAGAUAGAUUAGAUGCCCCAUUAACUUCGAGUGAAAAUUUCUGAUUUUCUAGAGACUGGAUGUAUUAAAAACCUGAGUUACUUUGUGAAAAUACUAUAUUAUUAGUUAUGUUUAGGCACAGAAA
This 684-nucleotide long non-coding RNA is filed under the name Bos taurus (domestic cattle). RNAcentral describes it as "long non-coding RNA NONBTAT024336". The record is from RNAcentral. Lineage: Eukaryota; Metazoa; Chordata; Mammalia; Artiodactyla; Bovidae.